Molecule: ribosomal RNA, 465 nt
Filed under: Vreelandella stevensii
Lineage: Bacteria; Pseudomonadati; Pseudomonadota; Gammaproteobacteria; Oceanospirillales; Halomonadaceae
Description: partial 16S ribosomal RNA
Rfam family: Bacterial small subunit ribosomal RNA
Source: RNAcentral
CCUACGGGGGGCUGCAGUGGGGAAUAUUGGACAAUGGGGGGAACCCUGAUCCAGCCAUGCCGCGUGUGUGAAGAAGGCCCUCGGGUUGUAAAGCACUUUCAGUGAGGAAGAACGCCUGGUGGUUAAUACCCAUCAGGAAAGACAUCACUCACAGAAGAAGCACCGGCUAACUCCGUGCCAGCAGCCGCGGUAAUACGGAGGGUGCGAGCGUUAAUCGGAAUUACUGGGCGUAAAGCGCGCGUAGGUGGCUUGAUAAGCCGGUUGUGAAAGCCCCGGGCUCAACCUGGGAACGGCAUCCGGACCUGUCAAGCUAGAGUGCAGGAGAGGAAGGUAGAAUUCCCGGUGUAGCGGUGAAAUGCGUAGAGAUCGGGAGGAAUACCAGUGGCGAAGGCGGCCUUCUGGACUGACACUGACACUGAGGUGCGAAAGCGUGGGUAGCAAACAGGAUUAGAUACCCUUGUAGUC